AGGCUCAGGAUGAACGCUGGCGGCGUGCUUAACACAUGCAAGUCGAACGGUGAACACGGAGCUUGCUCUGUGGGAUCAGUGGCGAACGGGUGAGUAACACGUGAGCAACCUGCCCCUGACUCUGGGAUAAGCGCUGGAAACGGCGUCUAAUACUGGAUAUGUGACGUGACCGCAUGGUCUGCGUUUGGAAAGAUUUUUCGGUUGGGGAUGGGCUCGCGGCCUAUCAGCUUGUUGGUGAGGUAAUGGCUCACCAAGGCGUCGACGGGUAGCCGGCCUGAGAGGGUGACCGGCCACACUGGGACUGAGACACGGCCCAGACUCCUACGGGAGGCAGCAGUGGGGAAUAUUGCACAAUGGGCGAAAGCCUGAUGCAGCAACGCCGCGUGAGGGAUGACGGCCUUCGGGUUGUAAACCUCUUUUAGCAGGGAAGAAGCGAAAGUGACGGUACCUGCAGAAAAAGCGCCGGCUAACUACGUGCCAGCAGCCGCGGUAAUACGUAGGGCGCAAGCGUUAUCCGGAAUUAUUGGGCGUAAAGAGCUCGUAGGCGGUUUGUCGCGUCUGCUGUGAAAUCCCGAGGCUCAACCUCGGGCCUGCAGUGGGUACGGGCAGACUAGAGUGCGGUAGGGGAGAUUGGAAUUCCUGGUGUAGCGGUGGAAUGCGCAGAUAUCAGGAGGAACACCGAUGGCGAAGGCAGAUCUCUGGGCCGUAACUGACGCUGAGGAGCGAAAGGGUGGGGAGCAAACAGGCUUAGAUACCCUGGUAGUCCACCCCGUAAACGUUGGGAACUAGUUGUGGGGUCCAUUCCACGGAUUCCGUGACGCAGCUAACGCAUUAAGUUCCCCGCCUGGGGAGUACGGCCGCAAGGCUAAAACUCAAAGGAAUUGACGGGGACCCGCACAAGCGGCGGAGCAUGCGGAUUAAUUCGAUGCAACGCGAAGAACCUUACCAAGGCUUGACAUAUACGAGAACGGGCCAGAAAUGGUCAACUCUUUGGACACUCGUAAACAGGUGGUGCAUGGUUGUCGUCAGCUCGUGUCCUGAGAUGUUGGGUUAAGUCCCGCAACGAGCGCAACCCUCGUUCUAUGUUGCCAGCACGUAAUGGUGGGAACUCAUGGGAUACUGCCGGGGUCAACUCGGAAGAAGGUGGGGAUGACGUCAAAUCAUCAUGCCCCUUAUGUCUUGGGCUUCACGCAUGCUACAAUGGGCCGGUACAA
Molecule: ribosomal RNA, 1214 nt
Filed under: Microbacterium paraoxydans
Lineage: Bacteria; Bacillati; Actinomycetota; Actinomycetes; Micrococcales; Microbacteriaceae
Description: bacterial SSU rRNA
Rfam family: Bacterial small subunit ribosomal RNA
Source: RNAcentral